Molecule: non-coding RNA, 295 nt
Organism: Agelaius phoeniceus (red-winged blackbird)
Lineage: Eukaryota; Metazoa; Chordata; Aves; Passeriformes; Icteridae
Source: RefSeq, a predicted model, not a curated record
GGAAAAGGAAGAUGAAGAAAUUAACCACAAGAGAAAAAAACCCUGGAAGAUAUGUGGACCACAACUACAUUAAGAAAGCUGAACCUGGUAUGAUUGAAACCCAUUCAAGGAUGUUAAAGAAAACAGGUCUUGCAGGAAUAACUGAGAUCAUGGGGAGCACCAGAAGAGGCCACAUGAAAGGUCAUGUGGAAGAUUAAAACAGUGCCAAGAGGAGUACUGGCAGCCUCUCUUCUUAUUCCUGCUGUGUUGAAUUCCCGUUUGGUGAGAAAUAAAAUCUUACUACUGUGUACAAGGA